Molecule: ribosomal RNA, 1589 nt
Filed under: human gut metagenome
Description: bacterial LSU rRNA
Rfam family: Bacterial large subunit ribosomal RNA
Source: RNAcentral
AGUCAGUUCAGGCAGACCCGAAACCGGGUGAUCUACCCAUGUCCAGGUUGAAGUUUCCGUAAAAGGAAAUGGAGGACCGAACGCACAUCCGUUGAAAAGGGUGGCGAUGAGGUGUGGGUAGGGGAGAAAUUCCAAUCGAACCCGGAGAUAGCUGGUUCUCCUCGAAAUAGCUUUAGGGCUAGCCUCGUAUUAGUUUAGCGGAGGUAGAGCACUGAAUUCUUAAGGGGGCGUCAAAGCUUACCAAGAGAUAUCAAACUCCGAAUGCCGCAUAAAUGAUGUACGGGAGUCAGACUGCACGAGAUAAGUUGGGUAGUCAAAAGGGAAAGAGCCCAGACCUACAGCUAAGGUCCCAAAGUGUGUGUUAAGUGGAAAAGGAUGUGGGAUUUCAAAGACAACUAGGAUGUUGGCUCAGAAGCAGCCACACAUUCAAAGAGUGCGUAAUAGCUCACUAGUCGAGAGGUCCUGCGCCGAAAAUGUCCGGGGCUGAAACACAACACCGAAGCUUAGGAAUUGACGUAAGUCAAUUGGUAGAGGAGCAUUCUUAACUGCGAAGAAGCGUUACCGUAAGGAGGCGUGGAGUGUUAAGAAGAGAGAAUGCCGGAAUGAGUAGCGAGAUGGAGGUGGGAAUCCUCCAGGCCGAAUAUCUAAGGUUUCCAGAGUAAAGCUGAUCUGCUCUGGGUAAGUCGGGGCCUAAGGCGAGGUCGAAAGACGUAGUCGAUGGACAACAGGUUGAAAUUCCUGUACCGCGUAUUAUCAGAACUGUGGGGACACAGAACCGAAGCCAAACCCGGGAAUGAAAAGACCGGGGCAAGCGCCGGACUGGUUAGACUGGAAAAACCGUCUAGCAACAGGAAAGCGUGAUGCGUACCGAACACAAGUAGGGAAGUUGGUAUAGGGGCUGUCAAGAAAAGCCGCUAUUGUGUAAUACGUGCCCGUACCGUAAACCGACACAGGUGGAUGAGGAGAGAAUCCUAAGGCCGGCGGGAGAAGCAUUGUUAAGGAACUCGGCAAAAUGACCCCGUAACUUCGGGAUAAGGGGUGCCCACGAGAGUGGGCCGCAGAGAAUAGGCUCAAGCAACUGUUUAGCAAAAACACAGGUCUAUGCAAAACCGAAAGGUGAGGUAUAUGGGCUGACGCCUGCCCGGUGCUGGAAGGUUAAGAGGAGAGGUUAGGAGCAAUCCGAAGCUUUGAAUUUAAGCCCCAGUAAACGGCGGCCGUAACUAUAACGGUCCUAAGGUAGCGAAAUUCCUUGUCGGGUAAGUUCCGACCCGCACGAAAGGCGUAAUGAUUUGAGCGCUGUCUCGACAAUGCACCCGGUGAAAUUGAAGUACCAGUGAAGAUGCUGGUUACCUGCGCCAGGACGGAAAGACCCCAUGGAGCUUUACUCCAGCUUGAUACUGGGAUUCGGUGUCGCAUGUACAGGAUAGGUGGGAGGCAGUGAAGAUAGGACGCCAGUCUUAUUGGAGCCAAUGUUGGGAUACCACCCUUGCGAUAUUGGGUUUCUAACCUGCGGCCAUGACCUGGCCGGGGGACAAUGUCAGGUGGGGAGUUUGACUGGGGCGGUCGCCUCCGAAAGUGUAUCGGAGGCG